Molecule: long non-coding RNA, 885 nt
Filed under: Setaria viridis
Lineage: Eukaryota; Viridiplantae; Streptophyta; Magnoliopsida; Poales; Poaceae
Description: long non-coding RNA (SVIR_LNC000220)
Source: RNAcentral
ACAAAGCAACUGACCCCUUUGACUAAGCAACAUACGUGAGACUCACACCUUUAAGUAGCAAGUUCUUGCUCGAUUUUCUUUGACUUUAGCCUCCACCAAAAGUUGGCACGUGAUCAUCAAUGGUGUUACAACGAAGGCUUGAUUUUCUCUCUAUUUACUAGACUAGCUCACUGAAAGAGUAGGUUGCAUAUGUUCCUUACCAUCGUAUGAAGCUUCUUUGCGAAACACAAUACACGCACACAUACAUGCAUGCUGUUAACGGCAGUUAGCACGCUAGUUUGUGAACCGCAAGCGCACGGAUCAUUGUAGCUUUUUCCUCAGAGUAUUCCAUCCAAGAUUUAUCAAUCCGUGGAUCGGCAGCGAACUAACUAGGAUUUUCCAUCUAAUCUAACGGAUCUAAUCCUAACAUGAAGCAUAGAUUGCAUAUGAAAAGGGUAAUCUUGGUGUAAAGGUAAAUCAUGAGAACAAGUAGAUCACAUCCACAGAUACGUAUAUGAUAAAACACCACCAAGGGUAGUAAGAGCCUAUCGUCUUCUAGUUGAAGCAAGCACAACACAUCCAAGGUUUAUCAAUCCGUGGAUUGGCAGUGAACUAACUAGGAUUUUCCAUCUAAUCUAACGGAUCUAAUCCUAACAUGAAGCAUAGAUUGCAUAUGAAGAGGGUAACCUUGGUGUAAAGGUAAAUCAUGAGAACAGGUAGAUCACAUCCACAGAUAUGUAUAUGAUAAACAUCACCAAGGGUAGUAAGAGCCUAUCAUCUUCUAGUUGAAGCAAGUACAAUAUGCAUCUCAUCCAAAGCAAUCUUUAAACUACUACCUCCGGUCAACCUCCCAAAAACCCCCCACCUUACACAAGCUAGAUCCUAUCACGAUCCUCUCUAUCAGCG